Molecule: ribosomal RNA, 515 nt
Filed under: uncultured bacterium
Lineage: Bacteria
Description: partial 16S ribosomal RNA
Rfam family: Bacterial small subunit ribosomal RNA
Source: RNAcentral
GAUGAACGCUGGCGGCGUGCCUAAUACAUGCAAGUCGAGCGAAUGGAUUAAGAGCUUGCUCUUAUGAAGUUAGCGGCGGACGGGUGAGUAACACGUGGGUAACCUGCCCAUAAGACUGGGAUAACUCCGGGAAACCGGGGCUAAUACCGGAUAACAUUUUGAACCGCAUGGUUCGAAAUUGAAAGGCGGCUUCGGCUGUCACUUAUGGAUGGACCCGCGUCGCAUUAGCUAGUUGGUGAGGUAACGGCUCACCAAGGCAACGAUGCGUAACCGACCUGAGAGGGUGAUCGGCCACACUGGGACUGAGACGCGGCCCAGACUCCUACGGGAGGCAGCAGUAGGGAAGCUUCCGCAAUGGACGAAAGUCUGACGGAGCAACGCCGCGUGAGUGAUGAAGGCUUUCGGGUCGUAAAACUCUGUUGUUAGGGAAGAACAAGUGCUAGUUGAAUAAGCUGGCACCUUGACGGUACCUAACCAGAAAGCCACGGCUAACUACGUGCCAGCCGCCGCAGUAA